Molecule: long non-coding RNA, 4369 nt
Organism: Hippocampus comes (tiger tail seahorse)
Lineage: Eukaryota; Metazoa; Chordata; Actinopteri; Syngnathiformes; Syngnathidae
Exons: 2
Source: RefSeq, a predicted model, not a curated record
GGAAAUACCAGAACAGCAAUCGGUUCCAACCUUUGUGUUCCCUUCUGGAGUGCAUGCCUUUCUGGCCAUCGGGGGCACUAUAAUGCAGUCAUACAAAUGUGCGGGUGUGGCUGUGGGUGCGGGUGCGUGCGGCAAAUAGAAGUUAGAAUUCCCAAACAAGCACAACAAACCAAUGACAAGACCUUUGUUUUACAAUCGUUUUAUUUUAAUUUAUUUGAAAACACGCAAAUGUACCCAUAUUAUCCUUUUUAAGAUGUUUUUUUUUGAAGCAGUUUUUUUUCCCUUUCCGUUUUCAAAGUCUCCACAAGAGCAAAACUUUAAAAAAAACAAACAAAAAAAUACCACACCCCCCCAAAAAAAGUCCUCCACAGGCUCUCUGGCUUCUGCAGUGGGAGGAGGGGCAAAAGAGGCUCUCUGAGUAGACGUUUUGCGCGUGGGCAUUUCCCUCGUCUAUUUGGUGCGUCGAUGAAAGCAUGCGCGUGUGUGUACGAGGUGGAAUGGUCAACUGAUAUAUCACAUAACCCAUAGAGCAGCAAGGAGAGCUGAACAUUGUCUUCUCGGUUUGCUCGCCGAUUGUCAUACCCUCUGUUUUCAUCUUUGGUUUCAAAAGGCCGACAUUGCCCUCUCCCUCUGUGUGUGUGUGUGUGUGUGUGUGUGUGUGUGUGUGUGUGUGUGUGUGUGUGUUUGUCAGUGCAAUACAAGCCACCAUCUCCACACCACUUUGUAAACGUAGAAAUGCGAUGCAAGCGUCUUUGCGCUGAUUGUGUGUGGCCCUUCCUUGGCACUAUGGGUGGGGGUGUGUGUGUGGCGGGGUUGGGGGGGGUGCUUGCAAAGACGAUGGGACAUCGCUAACAACAAAUGGAAAAUGGCAGACUCCAUUUUGUGUCGGUGGCAGUUUUUGUGUGACAUCAGUACAAAGCCGCCCCCGCCCGGCCACUCGCUACUUUAGUGGCAAGGGGGCGCUCUGCUGCCCGCUGUGGUUGGAUGGUAAAAGAUGUGGGGAGGUGUUUAGGGGGAAAUGAUAUUUGAGGGGUAGGAGUGGGGUUCUACACUCUGACCCAGCAGCAACGAUUAAGAUUGGGUAGGGUCAGGUGAUUGCAUAGUUCUGUGUGCAAAAGCCACCAACCGGAGCCUUUUUAUGAUUCAUUUUUUUCCCCCCUAUCAGCAGGACGCAAGUGGCGGGUGAUCGGAUGCAUGGUCACUGCACCACAACACUCCUGCGGUGCACUACGCUGUGAGUGUGGGAGGGGGUGCAAAUUUUUUUUUUUUUUUUUUUUUUACACUUAUUUCUCGGAUUUUGUUGGCAUGCGGAGGGAACGUAUCGCCAGGUGUUUGACAGUCGGACACAGCAGCCCGUCAUGACUCAGACAGCCUCUUUUUUUCCCCCCGUGAUUUUAUUCAGUCCUUGCCCUCCCCCUUUUGUCCGUCCUCACUGGCCUGCCCCUCUCUCUCUCUCUCUCUCACUACCUUUUUUGUUUUGAAACUGAUUGUCUUCUACCAUCACAAAGACACUUGGUUCUGAUUGAUUAAUUAACAGGUAACAAAAGAGGGAGAGCACAGUGUGACUGGGGAGGGGGAGCAUCGACGUCGGCGGGCCCCCCCCCGACCCCCGCAUCCCGUCGACCGAGCGACCAAUCCCGUGGAAGCGAAACGACAUGCACGUGAGGCUGUUUGACAGUAAAUGCCGAGGUCAUCGCCCUCACGGGAUUGAUCGUCCGCCGUCGCUUGUUUUUGGUCAAGAAAUGGUUUUGGCAUGACAGAUAUUGCAACCCAUACUUUAAAAGAACAUGAGAAACACUUGGUCGUUCACAAAGAUACAAACACACGCACUCCGAACACAGAUCGAAGAGAAGCACGCGGACAGAUGAAGCGAAUUCAGGGGUCGGCUCGAGCCUGUGUGCGUCCCUCUGAUUAACUCCAAGUGAACAGCCUUGUCUUUGGAAAAGCAGGACGCACAAAUCGGCAGGACACGAGCCAGACGACCGCCAAAAGCUGAGGAAUGAAUGCAAUUGAUUGGGAGGCGAGGAGUUUGACCUCCCCAAGCGCACACUGCCCCCUACUGUCUGGAGUUAUAUACAUCAAAGAAACAUGAGGGGGGAGGGUUGCAACAACACAUGCACACAACCAGUGACGGAAAGUCUAAAAAUGACGACCCCCUCCAAUGCUGAAAACCCAAAUCUUUGUCUGUUUUCUGUUGUUUAUUUGUUUUUGUUUUUUGUUUUUUUAAAGCGAACCAAAAUAUUCCCACCCUCUCCCAGGUCUUUCCUUUUCUCCUCCUCCCACACAAAAUCACAGGUCGUUCCUGUUGGUUUCUAUACAGUUAUACAAUAUCCAUGCACAAAAGGAACAACAACAACAAAAAAAAAGGACCACCUUUUCAACUAAAGGUGUUGGUCUUCGUUAUUCUCUAAGAACAUCAGGAGUACUUGAACACACCCACAAAAGUAAUUCCAACCCCACCCGAGAGAAAAGACAACUUAAGGGACAGAAGAAAGCCAACAAGAGUGAGAUAUUCUCCUUUGGUUUGUUAAUCGAUUUGGUUUGCAAAAGAACAUUUUCACGCGUAUGGCAGACCACUUUGGCGUCGUCUUACUCAACCUAGCUUCACUUCAGUUGUCAGUACUUGCUCAUCACUGGACUGCGCAAUUGUUUGAGUUCCAAUUGGCAUCAUAUAAAAUAAAGAAGGCGCAUAGCAUGCGAAACAGAAAGCCACAGAUUGCGUCGAAGCAAAAUUGUGACACGGAAAAAACAUAGGGAAAUACCACCUGUUCGAAGGCAUUUAAAAUUUACAUUUUUCAGCAAAAUUUGCUGUUUGGCCUUGGCAGAGGUUUGGUAAAUUUUUCACAGGCGCCAAAAACAUUUAAAAGAGAAAUGGGUUCCCCAACAACAAUGUACUGUUUCCCUAAAUUGUUGCAACCAAAAAAAUAGUCUACCCACCCCCCCCCAAAAAAAUCUUACUUUUUUGUGCUAUCUUUGAAGUAGGACAGCAGGAAGUGAAGAAAGAUAAUUGCAGGACGACACGGGACGCAAGUGGUCUCAAAUUGUGUGAAAAUUGGCUCUCUCAAUGCCUAAUCUUGUUUCUUUUUAUUCCAAUGUUUUGUAACAUGGCUCGGAACGAAACAUCUUUCUUCUCUUCUGUCUCUUUUGUGGCCCUCCACAGAUUCCACACAUUCACCGUGUCUUUUCCUUUUUUAUGAAAAACAAGUACAUGCCGUAGCAAAAAUCAGCAAACGUACGAGGAGGAAAAAAAAUGAGCAAAAGAAAUUCUUUUGUUGUUGUUGUUGUUGUUUUUUAACAGUAUAAAGCUUCAAGUCACAAGUUCCAAAACUAACUAUCAUAGUGUCAUAGUUUCAUAAUCAUCGUUUAUCAUUAGCAGUAUUAUUUUCAGUUUUUAAAUUACAUAAAGUUUACAUGAAAGGUUUUUGAGGUAUUUCAGAAUUAAUUGUCAAACACAUGCCUACCGGCUCUUAGCGCUUGCCGAGGGGGGGUCGGGGGGUGGUGUAUGGAUGGACAAGGUCAAAGGGGGGGGAGGGAGGCUGUUUGGCUGUUUUUGUGAGUCUUCCACACUUUUAACAGUGCAGCCUCUGUGCUUGCACAAGUGGAGUGAGAUGAUGAGCUAAGAUAACACCAAGUACAAAAGCCCUCUGGGCGCCCGGCACCUCUUGCCUUUCUUUUUUGCCUCCCUCUGUCUCUGUUACACAAAAAUAUCUCUGAUGCGAGAGAGGCAAAAAAAAAAAACAAACAAACAAACAAAAAAAUAAAAGACCCUCUCUCCUCAAAAAAAAAAAGUCAGCGAACCACACCGGGCGGGAGGGGCAGAGCGGGAGCUUAAGAACACAAAAAGAAUGUGACAGACGAAGGAGCUAACAUAUCAUUUCGAUUGAAAUAAAUAGCGUAGAGAGAUUGUUUUAUAGACUUUCUACAUGAUAAAGUGCUUGUAUUCGAGUGUAUCAAGAUGGAAAGUCAAUACGGGAGAAAAUGCUGACGUAAGCCUGUGUCCGUCUCCCGCGUCCCCUCCCCCUUUACUGUCCAUCCAAUUAUGGGCGCAUUGUUUUGGGGGUGAGGAGUGGGGGGGUUGUCGGGGAGGGCUUGCUAUCCACCUACGUGUGUGUGUGUGUGUGUGUGUGCGCGCGAGAGCGUUGUAUGGGGUUUGUUUAUGUGUCCAGUGCAGUCCCACCCGUGGUUGAAGGGAAAAGGCACUCAACUCUGUCCUGCAAGAUGGCCACCUCCUCCGAACGUGGCCAGCUGCAGUCUGACUGCGCUGUUACGACCAACACGUAUCGUUGUGUGUAGGACGGUCCAGGCCCGGAUGGGGCUCUCAAUGCCAGUUUGCUACGCCUGCUCGCCCAGGCCUGGAUUGCCCCCUCCC